CUGAUAUUGAAGCACUGGUUCCCAUAUGAUCACUGAAGUUAAGCAACAUCGAGCCUGGUCAGCACCUAGAUGAGUAACCACUUAGGAAUACCAGGUGCUGUAA
This is a non-coding RNA of Acanthosepion pharaonis, 103 nucleotides long. The record is from the annotation of a GenBank genome assembly. Lineage: Eukaryota; Metazoa; Mollusca; Cephalopoda; Sepiida; Sepiidae.